RNAcentral lists this ribosomal RNA (429 nucleotides) under Chloroflexota bacterium. RNAcentral's name for it is "Chloroflexi bacterium partial 16S ribosomal RNA". It matches the Rfam family "Bacterial small subunit ribosomal RNA", at positions 355 to 776 of the family's 1533-position model. Lineage: Bacteria; Bacillati; Chloroflexota. The record is from RNAcentral.
UGGGGAAUAUUGCACAAUGGGCGCAAGCCUGAUGCAGCCAUGCCGCGUGUAUGAAGAAGGCCUUCGGGUUGUAAAGUACUUUCAGCGGGGAGGAAGGGAGUAAAGUUAAUACCUUUGCUCAUUGACGUUACCCGCAGAAGAAGCACCGGCUAACUCCGUGCCAGCAGCCGCGGUAAUACGGAGGGUGCAAGCGUUAAUCGGAAUUACUGGGCGUAAAGCGCACGCAGGCGGUUUGUUAAGUCAGAUGUGAAAUCCCCGGGCUCAACCUGGGAACUGCAUCUGAUACUGGCAAGCUUGAGUCUCGUAGAGGGGGGUAGAAUUCCAGGUGUAGCGGUGAAAUGCGGAGAGAUCUGGAGGAAUACCGGUGGCGAAGGCGGCCCCCUGGACGAAGACUGACGCUCAGGUGCGAAAGCGUGGGGAGCAAACAGG